RNAcentral lists this ribosomal RNA (468 nucleotides) under uncultured bacterium. Its description in RNAcentral is "partial 16S ribosomal RNA". It matches the Rfam family "Bacterial small subunit ribosomal RNA", at positions 28 to 507 of the family's 1533-position model. The record is from RNAcentral.
GACGAACGCUGGCGGCGUGCUUAACACAUGCAAGUCGAACGGAAAGGCCCUGCUUUUGUGGGGUGCUCGAGUGGCGAACGGGUGAGUAACACGUGAGUAACCUGCCCUUGACCUUGGGAUAACUUCAGGAAACUGGGGCUAAUACCGGAUAGGAGCUCCUGCUGCAUGGUGGGGGUUGGAAAGUUUCGGCGGUUGGGGAUGGACUCGCGGCUUAUCAGCUUGUUGGUGGGGUAGUGGCUUACCAAGGCUUUGACGGGUAGCCGGCCUGGGAGGGUGACCGGCCACAUUGGGUCUGAGAUACGGCCCAGACUCCUACGGGAGGCAGCAGUGGGGAAUAUUGCACAAUGGGCGGAAGCCUGAUGCAGCAACGCCGCGUGCGGGAUGACGGCCUUCGGGUUGUAAACCGCUUUCGCCUGUGACGAAGCGUGAGUGACGGUAAUGGGUAAAGAAGCACCGGCUAACUACGUG